UUAAAUUGAAGAGUUUGAUCAUGGCUCAGAUUGAACGCUGGCGGCAGGCCUAACACAUGCAAGUCGAACGGUAACAGGAAGUAGCUUGCUGCUUCGCUGACGAGUGGCGGACGGGUGAGUAAUGUCUGGGAAACUGCCUGAUGGAGGGGG
Molecule: ribosomal RNA, 150 nt
Filed under: Salmonella enterica subsp. enterica
Lineage: Bacteria; Pseudomonadati; Pseudomonadota; Gammaproteobacteria; Enterobacterales; Enterobacteriaceae
Description: partial 16S ribosomal RNA
Rfam family: Bacterial small subunit ribosomal RNA
Source: RNAcentral